CUCCAACUGACUAAUCCCAAAUGGGACGAAACGCGCGUCCUGGAU
Molecule: non-coding RNA, 45 nt
Organism: Schistosoma mansoni
Lineage: Eukaryota; Metazoa; Platyhelminthes; Trematoda; Strigeidida; Schistosomatidae
Source: Rfam